Molecule: long non-coding RNA, 596 nt
Filed under: Mytilus galloprovincialis (Mediterranean mussel)
Lineage: Eukaryota; Metazoa; Mollusca; Bivalvia; Mytilida; Mytilidae
Source: RNAcentral
GGGUUUAAUUUACAAUUGAGAAAAAAAUGGUAUUCACCAUCUCCCGCAUGUGAUAUCUGUUUUGCUUUAUCUUAAAGGAAUACUUAAUUUUAUUGUACAGUUUAUCAUAAUUUUCAAGAUCUUCAGCAUAACAUUCGGUCUCUUUCAAUAUAUUUGGAGGAGAUGUAUAACCAUCAUUAUGCAGUGACAUAUUUAAUUGAAAAGCCUCUUUAACAAACUAAUAUCAAAUACUGUUCUUGCCAUAUAAAUGAAAAACAUGAUCUGAGACAAACAUAUAUAUACAAAAAUAGGAUUAAUAUCAUUGGUAUAUAAUUUAAAAACAUUUAUAUAUCUUAAUGAAUAAAGCCAUAGAAAUCUACCAAAUUCUGUUCUCGCUUACAUAUAACAUGCAGUUUUCCUUAGCCUUAGUACAGAUCUUUAGUAUUUAUUAUGAAUCAUUUCACAUGUUUCAUAGCAAGUACAAAGUAUCACAAACAAAACAUUUAAGACAGUUUAACCAAUUUAGUUUUUAAUCCAUAUUGAAUCCUAGAAUUUUUUUAGCCUAAACCGACCUCUAAACGAUCCAUGACUCUGUAAUAAAGAAUGAUUUAUCUGUU